GGGCUUGUGGCUCAGUGGUCGAGAUUGUGCUUGGUAUGCAGAAUGUUCCAGGUUCAAUCCCUGGUAUUUUCA
Molecule: transfer RNA, 72 nt
Filed under: Sphaerodactylus townsendi
Lineage: Eukaryota; Metazoa; Chordata; Lepidosauria; Squamata; Sphaerodactylidae
Description: tRNA-Thr
Rfam family: tRNA
About the family: Transfer RNA (tRNA) molecules are approximately 80 nucleotides in length.
Source: RNAcentral